AAUGCCCCUGAACUUGAUUCCAACAUAUGUUUCACCCAUAAUUCACCUUUGGCAAAAAUCUCAUCACCUUGUGUGUAAGCUUUCAAAUUACCCAAUUUGUAACUUUCCCUGGCUAUGCGUAUUACAUGCUGUUAAAGUAAAUUGAAAAAUAUUAAAAAAAAAAAUUUUUUUUUCUUUCUCAUUUAUAACAACCCAACAGUAAUGUAAAGAGAGAGAGAGCUUCCUUGAUCUAAAUUCCCCAAAUCCCUAAAUUGGUUUUCUUGUAACCUAAAUCCCUAAAUCAUUGUGGAGCAAAAUUAACGAAGAGAAAGCAUAGGAUGAGUGCAAGCAAUAGUUUUUCAAGCUCUUUAACAUCUCGGAGAAAUCAUGGAGGUAGACCGCUGUACGAUUAUGAGGGCCAAGUUAAGUUUUGCAACUGCGGUCUAAAGGCGCCGCGAUAGGUGUCUUGGAGUUAAAAUAAUCCCGGAAGAAGGUUUUAUUCUUGCAAAUUUUUCAAGCCUUAUGGGUGUCCUUAUUUUGAGUGGCAUGAUGCGAAGAUGAGUGAAAGAGCAACCUAGAUUAUAAAUGGGUUGAGGGCUAGCGUAAGGAAGCCAAGGAAUGCUAUUGAUAAUGUCUCGGAAAAUAAGGUGGAGUGGAGACUCUUUCAAUGGAGCUUAAUGAGCAAAGGGUUGAUCUAGCAACCUAUAAGCAAAGAGGAUAUUGGUUGUGCAUUGCAUUGUCAAUUGCAUGUGGUUUUAUGCUAUUCAAUUUAUCGGGGAAUAGUUAGAAUUUGGUUUGAAGGGUGUACUGUAGAUUUUGUAUAUAAGAGCAAAGUGCUCUUAUAUGUGCUUGAUCUAGAUAGAGUGUAGCUGGAAAUAGAUAGAGUGUAGUUAGAAGGUUGUCUUACUGAUUUCACAACCGUGGUGCCUUUGUCUAUGUUUGACGUAAACUUGAUAUUUUUUAUUGAAUGAAAUCAAAAAAAUUUGAGCA
Molecule: non-coding RNA, 969 nt
Organism: Jatropha curcas
Lineage: Eukaryota; Viridiplantae; Streptophyta; Magnoliopsida; Malpighiales; Euphorbiaceae
Source: RefSeq, a predicted model, not a curated record